Molecule: ribosomal RNA, 347 nt
Filed under: uncultured eukaryote
Lineage: Eukaryota
Description: partial small subunit ribosomal RNA
Rfam family: Eukaryotic small subunit ribosomal RNA
Source: RNAcentral
AGCUUCAGUAGCGUAUAUUAAAGUUGUUGCAUUUAAAAAGCUCGUAGUUGAUGUUUCGCUUAAUAGGCUUACUCUGCCUAGCGGAAAGGCCUAAAAAGCUGAUAUUUGGUGGAGACACCAUGUACACCGUGAAUAAAUUAGAGUGAUCCAAACAGGUUGUGCCCGAAUGCUUCAGCAUGGUAUGGGUUCUUGACGACGCCGGUUUCUAACACUUUUGUGUUUGAGACUUGAGCGGAGUAAAGGUUAAUAGAGAUGGAUGAUGGAAUUCGUAUUGAGUUGCUAGAGGUGAAAUUCUUGGACCAACUCAAGACGACCUGAAGCGAAAGCUUUUUCCACAGAUGCUCUUA